AACAGACCCCUCCCUUCGUUCAUCUCUCUCAUCUCUCUCCUGCACAACCCUAGCGCCGCCCUCAUAUCUCUUCGCCAUUUACGGUGGCGGCGCAACCAUAAACUAUCCCAAACCGCCUCAAAAUCAUACCAUAGGACCCCCUCAACCUCCCCUUCCCCAAUCUUUAACUAAGAUCCCUCGAAUCGUCACAAAGCAGAGCCGAUUUCAAAUCUAAAAAAGGGACAGAAAAACAAAAGCAAAAAUCUCUUGACUUCUUCAAGUUUCCAUGACCGGUUAGGGUCUAAAUUGGUGUUUCUCGCUGGUUUUCAACAAGGACCCCCGACGAAUACCAAUUUCGGCUAGAACUCGGGAUAAUGGAGGUCCGUUCAAAGCCAUGGCAGAGGUCCGUCCACUUCCAAUUAGGUAUUUCAAGUCCUUUUAUUGUUUUCCUAUUCGUUUAGUUCCAGUUUUCAUUCCCUUCUUGCUCUAUAUGUUCUUCCCUCUAUUAUUUUCUUCGUUCUGAGUUAAAUUAUGUUUGCAUGCUUAAAAUUAAAAGUUGUCCGUUCGUGUUUGUUUUAAGUCUUGGUUCUUUUGUUUUAUUUAAUUUUUUCUCUCUUGUUUGCAAGAGAAAGGAACUUUGAUUUUUGUGGGGGCAAUUUCGUUUAGCCCAUUGGUUUUCUAAGUUUGAUUUUAAAUUGGACUCUGUUAAUCAGAGGCCCAAAGUAAAAGGGAUUAGCCGGGUUUGGUAAACCCAUGUCUGGCUAGGCUUUGGGUCAACUUGACCCAGUUGGUUUUGAUGGUAAAUGCCAAGGUUUUAAGGGGUUUUUGGGUAGUGUAGCUUAGGGAAUCUCAUUUAACUGAUUGCGGAAGCUUCUAGGAAGCUGGGGUGGCGACUAAAUUGAAGUUCUGAAAAUUAAACUAAUAGUACCUAAGCUAAAAUAAAAAUAUUAAAAGGUGCAAAGAGCAAAAUCUGAAAUCUUGACUACUGCCCUAAUUCCUCUGUAUAAAACCCCAUUAGCUGAUUUUUUAAAGGAGGAUCAGAUUUGAAAAAUUAGAAACGACUGAGUAUUCUCUCAAGUGAAAAGAGGCUAAAAAUUGUUUGGAGUUUGCUUGGUUUUUGGAUUUCUAAAUUACUGUGAUAAAUCAGAAUUUCAAGGCUCAAUAGAGUAAUUCGAAUCUGGGUUUCCAUAGUGUGGAUCUGAGUAAAAAAUCUGAAGUUUGUUGUGCACCAUUGUUUGUUGCAAUAUUGCUGCUGUGGGAUGAAGUUCUGAUCCUUAAUCACUUCUUUUCCUUCUGUUUUGACUGCCGUAUCCAGGUACUCUCUUCACACCAUGAAUGGAAAUGAAGUUUUGGCUAAGCUAUGGUUUGAUUUAUUUAAUUCAAGUUGAAGAAGUUGACAAAUGCUAAUUCCUUAUUACUUAUUAGCUAUGUGAUCUUACUGUACUUUUGGUUUAGUGUCCAUUCUAGUCUAGCUUCUUAAGUGUAGUAGCUCGUAUUAUCUGUUUGUUCUAAGGUUGGAGCUGAGAUUUUAUUUAACUAUGGUUUAUUCAAGAAUUUUCAUUCUAGUAUAACAUGUGUAAUUGAGGAUGGUGGCUAUUGAGCUUACUGACGAGGCUGCCUGGUCUUUGAAAAUGUUUUAUAGCUAUGGGUGGGAUGCUUAUUAGUUUGGUUCACUCAUGUUGUAGGUUCAUCAGUUUUGGUUUAAUUUUAUCUCCCC
RNAcentral lists this long non-coding RNA (1696 nucleotides) under Nicotiana tabacum (common tobacco). RNAcentral's name for it is "long non-coding RNA (NTAB_LNC006502)". Lineage: Eukaryota; Viridiplantae; Streptophyta; Magnoliopsida; Solanales; Solanaceae. The record is from RNAcentral.